CGGGGGGAGCAAGCGUUGUUCGGAUUUACUGGGCGUAAAGGGCGCGUAGGCGGUCAGCACAAGUCAGUUGUGAAAUCUCCGGGCUUAACUCGGAAAGGUCAACUGAUACUGUGCGACUAGAGUGCAGAAGGGGCAACUGGAAUUCUCGGUGUAGCGGUGAAAUGCGUAGAUAUCGAGAGGAACACCUGCGGCGAAGGCGGGUUGCUGGGCUGACACUGACGCUGAGGCGCGAAAGCCAGGGGAGCGAACGGGAUUAGAUACCCCGGUAGUCCUGGCCUUAAACGAUGGAUGCUUGGUGUCUGGAGUUAUAUAGUCUCCGGGUGCCGCAGCUAACGCGUUAAGCAUCCCGCCCGGGGAGUACGGUCGCAAGACUG
RNAcentral lists this ribosomal RNA (374 nucleotides) under uncultured organism. RNAcentral describes it as "bacterial SSU rRNA". It matches the Rfam family "Bacterial small subunit ribosomal RNA", at positions 526 to 896 of the family's 1533-position model. The record is from RNAcentral.